GGUUAAGUUAGAAAGGGCGCACGGUGGAUGCCUUGGCACUAGGAGCCGAAGAAGGACGGGACUAACACCGAUAUGCUUUGGGGAGCUGUACGUAAGCGUUGAUCCAGAGAUUUCCGAAUGGGGGAACCCACUAUCUUUAGUCGGAUAGUAUCCUUACGUGAAUACAUAGCGUGAGGAAGGCAGACCCAGGGACCUGAAACAGCUAAGUACCUGGAGGAAGAGAAAGAAAAAUCGAUUUCCUGAGUAGCGGCGAGCGAAACGGAAAGAGCCCAAACCAAGAAGCUUGCUUCUUGGGGUUGUAGGACACUCUAUACGGAGUUACAAAAGAAAGUUAUAAAUGAAGCGGUCUGGAAAGGCCCGCCAAAGACGGUAACAGCCCGGUAGUUGAAAUAGCUUUCCCUCCAGAGUGGAUCCUGAGUACGGCGGAACACGUGAAAUUCCGUCGGAAUCCGGGAGGACCAUCUCCCAAGGCUAAAUACUCCCUAGUGACCGAUAGUGAACCAGUACCGUGAGGGAAAGGUGAAAAGCACCCCGGAAGGGGAGUGAAACAGUUCCUGAAACCGUGUGCCUACAAGUAGUUAGAGCCCGUUAAUGGGUGAUAGCGUGCCUUUUGUAGAAUGAACCGGCGAGUUACGAUUUGUUGCAAGGUUAAGCGGAAAAAGCGGAGCCGUAGCGAAAGCGAGUCUGAAUAGGGCGCAUAAGUAACAGGUCGUAGACCCGAAACCAGGUGAUCUACCCAUGUCCAGGAUGAAGGUAAGGUAAUACUUACUGGAGGUCCGAACCCACGCACGUUGAAAAGUGCGGGGAUGAGGUGUGGGUAGCGGAGAAAUUCCAAUCGAACUUGGAGAUAGCUGGUUCUCUCCGAAAUAGCUUUAGGGCUAGCCUCGAGGUAAAGAGUCAUGGAGGUAGAGCACUGUUUGGACUAGGGGCCCUUCUCGGGUUACCGAAUUCAGAUAAACUCCGAAUGCCAUGUACUUAUACUCGGGAGUCAGACUGCGAGUGAUAAGAUCCGUAGUCGAAAGGGAAACAGCCCAGACCACCAGUUAAGGUCCCCAAAUAUAUGUUAAGUGGAAAAGGAUGUGGGGUUGCUUAGACAACCAGGAUGUUGGCUUAGAAGCAGCCACCAUUGAAAGAGUGCGUAAUAGCUCACUGGUCGAGUGACCCCGCGCCGAAAAUGUACCGGGGCUAAACAUAUUACCGAAACUGUGGAUGAACCUCUUUAGAGGUUCGUGGUAGGAGAGCGUUCUAAGGGCGGUGAAGUCAGACCGGAAGGACUGGUGGAGCGCUUAGAAGUGAGAAUGCCGGUAUGAGUAGCGAAAGAAGGGUGAGAAUCCCUUCCACCGAAUAUCUAAGGUUUCCUGAGGAAGGCUCGUCCGCUCAGGGUUAGUCGGGACCUAAGCCGAGGCCGAUAGGCGUAGGCGAUGGACAACAGGUAGAGAUUCCUGUACCAGUGCUAAUUGUUUAACCGAUGGGGUGACACAGAAGGAUAGGGAAUCGCACGAAUGGAAAUGUGCGUCCAAGCAGUGAGUGUGAGAAGUAGGCAAAUCCGCUUCUCGCGAAGCAUGAGCUGUGAUGGGGAAGGAAAUUAAGUACGGAAGUUCCUGAUUUCACGCUGUCAAGAAAAGCCUCUAGGAAGAGUAGUACUGCCCGUACCGCAAACCGACACAGGUAGAUGAGGAGAGAAUCCUAAGGUGAGCGAGAGAACUCUCGUUAAGGAACUCGGCAAAAUGACCCCGUAACUUCGGGAGAAGGGGUGCUCUAUUAGGGUGCAAGCCCGAGAGAGCCGCAGUGAAUAGGCCCAGGCGACUGUUUAGCAAAAACACAGGUCUCUGCAAAACCGUAAGGUGACGUAUAGGGGCUGACGCCUGCCCGGUGCUGGAAGGUUAAGAGGAGUGCUUAGCUUCGGCGAAGGUACGAAUUGAAGCCCCAGUAAACGGCGGCCGUAACUAUAACGGUCCUAAGGUAGCGAAAUUCCUUGUCGGGUAAGUUCCGACCCGCACGAAAGGCGCAACGAUCUGGGCACUGUCUCAACGAGAGACUCGGUGAAAUUAUAGUACCUGUGAAGAUGCAGGUUACCCGCGACAGGACGGAAAGACCCCGUGGAGCUUUACUGCAACCUGAUAUGGAAUGUUUGUACCGCUUGUACAGGAUAGGUAGGAGCCGAAGAGACGUGUGCGCUAGCAUACGAGGAGGCA
RNAcentral lists this ribosomal RNA (2195 nucleotides) under Listeria monocytogenes. RNAcentral's name for it is "partial 23S ribosomal RNA". It matches the Rfam family "Bacterial large subunit ribosomal RNA", at positions 1 to 2188 of the family's 2925-position model. The record is from RNAcentral. Lineage: Bacteria; Bacillati; Bacillota; Bacilli; Caryophanales; Listeriaceae.